AUGGAGGAUGUAGAGGGGCUCAUGAAGGGCUUGAAACUAUCGGCGGCGGAGCGGAGAGGUCUGAAGAUCGGGCAGUCAGAGAAGGGGAAGGAGAGUGAAUGGGCGCCGGUUGAUCCACAAGCUGUGGGUAAAUUACUAUCGGAGAAGCCGGCUCCUGCAAGUGCGGUGGGACAAACGUUGGGGAGAAUCUGGUGCCCUAUCAAGGGGCUUGAUUGUAGGGAGCUGGAGACAAAUGUGUUCCUUUUCACGUACCGUCAAGCAUUGGGAUGGAGGAGGGCCCUGGAGGAUGGACCGUGGUGGUUCGAUAAAGAGUUGCUUGUUAUGGAGGAGUUUGAUCCAGAGAAGACGGUCGACGAGUACGAGUUCAAUCUGAUCCCCAUGUGGAUUCGUGUAUUUGGCCUGCCUCUCGGAUACAUGAACAGGGCGACAGGAGAGCGCAUUGGGGCUGACUUUCAUGAUCUGGUUGAAGUGGAUGUACGGCAUGAUGGAAAGGCGGUGGGGAAGUUUUUGCGUGUGAAGGUUAAGCUUGAUAUUAAAGAACCCUUGAUGAGAGGUUUUGUGCUUGACAGAGGGGAAAAGAAAGGGAAGGACGACGCGGAGGAGAUGGAGGUAAUAGGAGAGACUAAGAAGAAGAAGAAGAAAGAGAUGUUGUGGUGUCGAUUUGAGUACGAAUACAUGCCGGAUUUUUGCUAUACUUGUGGUGUGAUAGGGCACGGUGAGAAAGACUGCAGUAGUAAACCUAUCAGAGGAGAGGCGCCCCAGUUUUGGCGCAUGGAUGAGAGCGGAGGACCGCAAAUUGGGAGAGGGAGGAUGGCAGGGGAAGGGUCAUGA
RNAcentral lists this ribosomal RNA (831 nucleotides) under Triticum aestivum (bread wheat). Its description in RNAcentral is "partial small subunit ribosomal RNA". The record is from RNAcentral. Lineage: Eukaryota; Viridiplantae; Streptophyta; Magnoliopsida; Poales; Poaceae.